CGGUUGAUCCUACCGGACCCUACUGCUAUCGGGUUGGGACUAAAACAUGCUAGUCGAGCGCCUCUCAAGCUAUGUCGUUGUGGAGACGCGGCACACGGCUCAGUAACACGUGGCUAACCUACCCUUAGGACGGAGACAACCCCGGGACACUGGGGCUAAUCUCCGAUAGGUGAAGACGCCUGGAAUGGUCCUUCACCCCAAAGGAUGUUGAAAGCAUGCUUUUCAACGUCGCCUAAGGAUGGAGCCGCGGCCGAUCAGGUUGUUGGUGAGGUAAAGGCUCACCAAACCUAUAACCGGUACGGGCCAUGAGAGUGGGAGCCCGGAGAUGGGCACUGAGACAAGGGCCCAGGCCCUACGGGGCGCAGCAGUUGCGAAACCUCCACAAUGCACGAAAGUGUGAUGGGGCUAACCCGAGUGCCGUCCGCUGAGGACGGCUUUUCUCCGCUGUAAGGAGGCGGAGGAGUAAGGAGAGGGCAAGACUGGUGUCAGCCGCCGCGGUAAUACCAGCUCUCCGAGUGGUAGGGAUGAUUAUUGGGCUUAAAGCGUUCGUAGCCGGCCUGGCAAGUCUCUCGUUAAAUCCAGCGACUUAAUCGCUGGGCUGCGAGAGAUACUGUCAGGCUUGGGAGCGGGAGAGGCCGACGGUAUUCUCGGGGUAGGGGUGAAAUCCUGUAAUCCCGGGAGGACCACCAGUGGCGAAGGCUGUCGGCUAGAACGCGUCCGACGGUGAGGGACGAAAGCUGGGGGAGCGAACCGGAUUAGAUACCCGGGUAGUCCCAGCUGUAAACUAUGCGGGCUAGGUGUCGGUGUGGCUACGAGCCACUCCGGUGCCGCAGGGAAACCCAUAAGCCCGCCGCCUGGGAAGUACGGCCGCAAGGCUGAAACUUAAAGGAAUUGGCGGGGGAGCAC
This 906-nucleotide ribosomal RNA is filed under the name uncultured archaeon. RNAcentral's name for it is "bacterial SSU rRNA". It matches the Rfam family "Archaeal small subunit ribosomal RNA", at positions 5 to 879 of the family's 1478-position model. The record is from RNAcentral.